RNAcentral lists this ribosomal RNA (897 nucleotides) under uncultured bacterium. RNAcentral's name for it is "bacterial SSU rRNA". It matches the Rfam family "Bacterial small subunit ribosomal RNA", at positions 8 to 916 of the family's 1533-position model. The record is from RNAcentral.
AGAGUUUGAUCCUGGCUCAGGACGAACGCUGGCGGCGUGCUUAACACAUGCAAGUCGAACGGAAAGGCCCCUUCGGGGGUACUCGAGUGGCGAACGGGUGAGUAACACGUGGGUGAUCUGCCCUGCACUCUGGGAUAAGCCUGGGAAACUGGGUCUAAUACCGGAUACACCCUUCUGGUCGCAUGGCCUGGGAGGGGAAAGCUUUUGCGGUGUGGGAUGGGCCCGCGGCCUAUCAGCUUGUUGGUGGGGUGAUGGCCUACCAAGGCGACGACGGGUAGCCGGCCUGAGAGGGCGUCCGGCCACACUGGGACUGAGAUACGGCCCAGACUCCUACGGGAGGCAGCAGUGGGGAAUAUUGCACAAUGGGCGCAGGCCUGAUGCAGCGACGCCGCGUGGGGGAUGACGGCCUUCGGGUUGUAAACCUCUUUCAGCAUCGACGAAGCGCAAGCGACGGUAGAUGCAGAAGAAGCACCGGCCAACUACGUGCCAGCAGCCGCGGUAAUACGUAGGGUGCGAGCGUUGUCCGGAAUUACUGGGCGUAAAGAGCUCGUAGGUGGUUUGUCGCGUUGUUCGUGAAAACUCACAGCUUAACUGUGGGCGUGCGGGCGAUACGGGCAGACUAGAGUACUGCAGGGGAGACUGGAAUUCCUGGUGUAGCGGUGGAAUGCGCAGAUAUCAGGAGGAACACCGGUGGCGAAGGCGGGUCUCUGGGCAGUAACUGACGCUGAGGAGCGAAAGCGUGGGGAGCGAACAGGAUUAGAUACCCUGGUAGUCCACGCCGUAAACGGUGGGUACUAGGUGUGGGUUUCCUUCCUUGGGAUCCGUGCCGUAGCUAACGCAUUAAGUACCCCGCCUGGGGAGUACGGCCGCAAGGCUAAAACUCAAAUGAAUUGACGG